This 409-nucleotide unclassified non-coding RNA is filed under the name fungal sp. RNAcentral's name for it is "partial internal transcribed spacer region". The stretch from base 1 to 46 matches the Rfam family "Eukaryotic small subunit ribosomal RNA", at positions 1786 to 1831 of the family's 1831-position model. Lineage: Eukaryota; Fungi. The record is from RNAcentral.
AAGUCGUAACAAGGUCUCCGUAGGUGAACCUGCGGAGGGAUCAUUAACAAAUAAUUUCAUUUUAUUAAUUUGCUUUUUCUCCUAACAAAGAAAAAACAAAAUUAUAAAAUCAAAUAAAACACAUCGUGAACUAUAUGACUGACUGGAAUGAAAAAAUUAAUUUUUUCGUUUCGGCUUUUUUUAUAAUUUAAUUAACGAAUUUCACUUAAUUUAUUUUCUUUUUUUAACUAAGAAGGAAAAACAAAUUAAUUUUCAAAAAAAUUAAAAAAAACAAGAAUUUCUUAUUUUUUUUGAGUUUGGCGAUUUUUAAUUUCUUUUUUUUUUACUUUUGGAAAAAAAUUCAUUUUUUUUCAAAUAAAAAUCAAAAAAUUUAAAAGCACAACUCUUAGCAACGGAUAUCUUGGUUCUC